AGCGUAGGCGGGCUUCUAAGUUAGGUGUUUAAUCCCGGGGCCCAACCCCGGUCGUGCACCUAAAACUGGGAGUCUUGAAUAGGGGAGAGGUCAGUGGAAUUGGAGGUGUAGCGGUGGAAUGCGUAGAGAUCUCCAAGAACACCAGUUGCGAAGGCGGCUGACUGGACCCAUAUUGACGCUGAGGCUCGAAAGCAUGGGGAGGCAAAACA
This 209-nucleotide ribosomal RNA is filed under the name uncultured bacterium. Its description in RNAcentral is "partial 16S ribosomal RNA". It matches the Rfam family "Bacterial small subunit ribosomal RNA", at positions 568 to 776 of the family's 1533-position model. The record is from RNAcentral.